Molecule: long non-coding RNA, 2649 nt
Filed under: Malus domestica (apple)
Lineage: Eukaryota; Viridiplantae; Streptophyta; Magnoliopsida; Rosales; Rosaceae
Description: long non-coding RNA (MDOM_LNC016132)
Source: RNAcentral
UACUCCAAAUUAUACAUGAGCAUUACUCAUGUCAUUCAUACAUAAACAUUCAUGAGUAUCACUCAUGACAAUCAUACAUAAACAUUCAUGAGCAUCAUUCAUGUUAACAUUCAUGAGUAUCACUCAUGUUAACAUUCAUGAGCAUCACUCAUGACAACAUCCAUGAGCAUCACUCAUGUUAAUCAACAUAAACAUUCAUGAACAUCACUCAUGUCAAUCUAGCUUCAAAAGCUUCAUUUACAGAGCUCUAGCUUUAAAAGUUUCAUUUACAAAGCUCUAGCUUCAAAAACUUCAUUUACAAAAGUUCAAGCUUCGAAAGCUUCAUUUACAGAGCUCUAGCUUCAAAUCUUCACUUGCAAAGCUUCACCUACAAAGCUUCAGUGCAGGGUAUACAAAUACCGCCUUUGAACAACCGCCACUUCGGCCCAUACAUGGAUUCAAUUUGAAGUUUCCAGCCAACAUACUCUAUUGACCGAAGACUUGGGGGACUACAUUAUGUACCAUAUAUUAGGCCUCAACUGGGCCUCAUGAAAAAUACUUGGGGGACUUUAGCCCAUCAUUUAUGUAUUAAGGAGCGAGCCCUUGUUAUAUAAAAGAGACUCCCUCACUUUCAUUAGAGAGCACCAUUACUCAUGUACUGAGGAGCGAUCCCUUAUUUUAUAAAAAUGACUCAUUCACUUUCAUUGGAGAGCAUCGUCGCCAGCUGAGCAACCGCCUCACCGCGAGCAUCACUCCUAAUCCAUCACUUAUGUAUUGAGGAGCGAGCCCUUAUUCUAUAAAAGGGACUCCCUCACCAUCAUUAGAGAGCAUUGCCGCCUACUGAGCAACCUUCUCACCGCGAGCAUCAACUCUAGCCCAUCAUUUAUGUAUUGAAGAGUAAGCCUUUAUUCUAUAAAAGGGACUCAUUCAACUUCAACGCCACAAGCCGAGGUAUCCAAGGCAACAUAAGCCACAAGCAUAGCAGCCUCGCAAUAUGUGCUACUUCUAGAUGAGUAUCAUUUCAGAUUGAGCACCGCCUCAUAUCGAGUAUCAGUCCUAGACGACAUUUAGUUACUUCAACCCACACAUGGACUGAAUUUCAAGUCUCUAGCAAAAAGACUCUCUUGACUGAAGACUUGGGGGACUACUGUUUAUACCAUACUUAGGGCCUCCGUAUUUAUAUCUCGUAUAAAUACUCGGGGGACUCAAAUGUAAUUAUGUAAUAAAGGAAUGGGCAAAUAUGUAAUAAGUGGGGAACCAUUAUUCUAUAAAAGGACCUCUCACCUUCACAAUUAGGGAGAGCCUCAUUCUCACCCUCGAAGGCCAAUUCCUAGGCCCUUUCACCCCCUCUCAAAACUCUCACUCUCAUAGCUCUCUCUCUCCCUCAGAUAAAUACAAUAUCAGUGUGGACGUAGCCUAAACCUUGAGGUUAACCACGAUACAUCUUGUGUUAUUUACAUUUCUUGCAGAUUCACGGUUGGAUUUACGUUGUUCCAAGACCUCUGGUUUUAUGCAUCAACAGACCUCAAACAUGAGGAGAUAUUAUGUAAUUUACCCUACUUUUUGACAAAUCAUUUAAAUUACGGAAAGAAGUAUUUGAAAGUCAGGUACGUCACAAAAAAUCCCUUAACCAUAAAAAAGUCACAAAAAGUCUCAAAUCAUUUUGGAGGCCCAUGUAUUUAAACUUCGGGCUGGAGAUUGGAUCAUUUUCACAAACUAAAAACCAAACUAACUUCGUAAACCCACAUCUCACAAAAUAUGAAAAAUAAAUUUAAAAAUAAAAAAUAAACGAAAAAUAGACACCUGUUUUGUCUCACAUGUUAAAAAAAAAAGGGGUAAAUUACACAAUGACCACUCAGGUUUGAGAUCUUGCACAAAUCCAUACAACAUCUUUUAAACAUUUCAUUUUCAUACCUCACGUACCAUUUUAUUUCAAAAUAAUAUGUCCGUUAGUUUUUUCAUCCAUUAAUCCGUUAAGUGAUGACGUGGUUGCCACAUGACAAAUUUUUUUUUAAAUUAAAAAAAAAACCUAAAUCUUCUAAAAAAAAAAAAAAAAAAAAACUGAAAUCAUAACCCCACCCCCGUACCCCCUCACCCCAAAACAAGAAACCCAGAACACCCCCAACCCGCGACCCUCCCUCCCAGAUCCCCAUUCCUGCAACCAGUUCGUCUUCUCUUCGCACCCGCACUCACCCUCCCUCCCCUCUUCUCCUUCCCCUUCUUCUUCCUCUAUGUUCAUCUUCUUCCCCUGAAACCUUUUCCUACAACCCAAAAAAAAAAAACCUAGUUUGUCUUCCUCUGCACCCGCGACCCUUCAUCCCAAGAUCCCCAUUCCUGCAACCAGUUCGUCUUCUCCUUGCACCCGCACUCACCCUCCCUCCCCUUUCUCCUUCCUUCAUGUUCAUCUUCUUCCCCUGAAACCCCUUCCUGCAACUUGGAAAAAAAAAAAAAACAACCCAGUUCGUCUUCCUUCGCACCUGCACCCAUCCUCGCACCCAAUUCCAUCUCAUGAACCCAGCGAUGGAUGUGUAGACGCGAUCUGGGUUUUUUUUUUCUUCCUUUUCUUUUCUGAGUUGCAAGGGGAAGAAGAGAUGAGCAGAGGGAGAAGGGGGGGGGCUUGAGUGAGGUGGGUCGCAGGGUUGGGGGGCGCUACAAUGAGGUUGGUCGCAG